ACAACCUUUUUUCGUAGCAGAAGUAUUUACCGGUUCUCCAGGGAAAUAUGUUGGUCUAGCAUAAACAAUUCGAGGAUUUCAAUUGAUCCUUUCCGGAGAAUUAGAUGGUCUUCCUGAACAGGCCUUUUCUUUGGUAGGUAAUAUCGAUGAAGCUACCGCGAAGGCUAUGAACUUAGAAAUGGAGAGCAAUUUGAAGAAAUGACCUUAAAUCUUAGUGUACUGACCGAAGGCUAUGAACUUAGAAAUGGAGAGAAAUUUGAAGAAAUGACCUUAAAUCUUAGUAUACUGACCCAUAAUCUAAUUGUUUGG
Molecule: long non-coding RNA, 309 nt
Filed under: Nicotiana benthamiana
Lineage: Eukaryota; Viridiplantae; Streptophyta; Magnoliopsida; Solanales; Solanaceae
Description: long non-coding RNA (NBEN_LNC020524)
Source: RNAcentral